Molecule: ribosomal RNA, 898 nt
Filed under: uncultured Actinomycetes bacterium
Lineage: Bacteria; Bacillati; Actinomycetota; Actinomycetes
Description: bacterial SSU rRNA
Rfam family: Bacterial small subunit ribosomal RNA
Source: RNAcentral
AGAGUUUGAUCCUGGCUCAGGACGAACGCUGGCGGCGUGCUUAACACAUGCAAGUCGAACGAUGAACCCGGAGCUUGCUCCGGCGGAUUAGUGGCGAACGGGUGAGUAACACGUGAGUAACCUGCCCUUGACUCUGGGAUAACUGCUAGAAAUGGUAGCUAAUACCGGAUACGACCCUCGGCGGCAUCGCCAGGGGGUGGAAAGAAUUUCGGUCAAGGAUGGACUCGCGGCCUAUCAGCUAGUUGGUGAGGUAACGGCUCACCAAGGCGACGACGGGUAGCCGGCCUGAGAGGGUGACCGGCCACACUGGGACUGAGACACGGCCCAGACUCCUACGGGAGGCAGCAGUGGGGAAUAUUGCACAAUGGGCGCAAGCCUGAUGCAGCAACGCCGCGUGAGGGAUGACGGCCUUCGGGUUGUAAACCUCUUUUAGUAGGGAAGAAGCGAAAGUGACGGUACCUGCAGAAAAAGCACCGGCUAACUACGUGCCAGCAGCCGCGGUAAUACGUAGGGUGCAAGCGUUGUCCGGAAUUAUUGGGCGUAAAGAGCUCGUAGGCGGUUUGUCGCGUCUGCUGUGAAAUCCCGAGGCUCAACCUCGGGCCUGCAGUGGGUACGGGCAAACUAGAGUGUGGUAGGGGAGACUGGAAUUCCUGGUGUAGCGGUGGAAUGCGCAGAUAUCAGGAGGAACACCAAUGGCGAAGGCAGGUCUCUGGGCCAUAACUGACACUGAGGAGCGAAAGUGCGGGGAGCGAACAGGAUUAGAUACCCUGGUAGUCCGCACCGUAAACGGUGGGCACUAGUUGUGGGAACCUUCCACGGUUUCCGCGACGCAGCAAACGCAUUAAGUGCCCCGCCUGGGGAGUACGAUCGCAAGAUUAAAACUCAAAGGAAUUGACGG